CCCCCGGCCCACCCUGGCCGCGGCACUGCCCUAGCCACCUUCCGUCUUCCCACACCAGGCUCCGGCCCGGCCACCCUAUUCCUUUACGAGCCGAGCCUCCAGCCACGGCCUCCGGUCCCUGGUCUCUGCCGCGAACGUGAAGGCAGGACCCCUGGGACGCUCCACGUGCGCGCUCGCCUUCUCGGUCCCAGCCCCUGCGUUUGUUCUUCCCGUUUUAAGGUCUCAUCUGGAAGGUGAAUCAUCUUCUGAAGAAGAGGACCAGAAUAAUGCAAGGGACGGGGUAUCAGCAGUAGAGGAAAGCAGCGACCAGAGAAAUGAAGAAGCUGAGGGUCCUACAGAGCAUUCCAGAAGGGAAAUUGAAAAUGACGGGGAAGUCACAGCCCAGGGGGAGGGUGAAGACGAUGAAGCUGAAAUCCAAGGGGUAAUGGAUUCGGAAGAGGAAUUUGAAUCUGAGGGGAAAUUAGAAUCUGAUAUGGAAGGCAUGGCCCCUGGAGGGAAAGUCAGUUCUUCAGAUCUGGCUUCCUCAAGCUUCGGUCCUGGGGAGGUGCCCGGAGAUGGAGUCGGCCCCCCAUACCCGCCUGAAAGAGCAAGGAAGAAAUCUCAUCUCGAAGACGGAGCGGCCCCACGCUCAUCCACAUCCAGAGGAGCGGGGGUCAUCUCCACAGAGCUCUCCCAGCAAGUGCCAGGCUCAUCUGAGCAAAUGGACCAGGAGUCAUUGCAGGGAGCGCUCCAGCAGAAGGUCUUCCCUCUGGGGGCUCAGCACCGCCAGAGCCCAGGGAGCAGCUACACAUCCCUGGACUUUGAUGAACAGCCUCCGGGCACGGAGGGCCCCGCCGCACAGGAGCCAGAGUCUGACGGCGGCACCAGCGAAGGAGCCACACCUUCGUUCCUGGACAGGAUCCAGCAGCUAAGCAUGGCGGAGGAAGGGGGCCUGGUGGAGAGGAUGGAGUCCGAGGGUAGUGAUGAGGCUGAAGAAGACAGGUCCCAACUGGUGGUUUUGGACCCAGACCACCCUCUGAUGAUAAGAUUCCAGGCUGCCCUGAAGAACUACCUUAACCGGCAGAUAGAGAACGUGAAGCUGGAGCUUCAAGAGCUGGGCGUGGCCACCAAGCAAAGCCGAGUCCAGCGGCAGGAGCUGGGGGUGGACCUCUACGGGGUCCAGCAGCACCUGGCCCGCCUACAGAUGCAGCUGGAGAAGAACCAUGACCGCCACUCGAUCGCCGCCUGUGCCAGGCGGCAGAAGGAGGAGGAGCUUCAGAGCGUGCGCUUGCUCUACGCCCGGACCUGCGAGACUGCCAACGAGGAGCGCAAAAAGCUGGCGGCUCUGCAGACGGAGAUGGAGACCCUGGCUCUGCAUCUCUUCUACAUGCAGAACAUGGACCAGGACGUGCGGGAUGACAUCCUCAUAAUGAAGCACGUUGUGAAGAAGUCAGAGGCUGAGCGCUCUCGGGCCGAGUUGGAGAAGCAGCAGCAGGACCUGCACGUGGACCAGCUCACCACCCGAGCCAACCAGCUGGAAGAACAAACCGCGCUGUUCGAGGCUCAGUACCACGCGCAGGUUGAGGACACCCGGAUGCUCAGGAAAGCAGUGAACGAGGCCUGCAUGGAAAUUGACACCAUCAACGUGGAGAAAAAGCGCAUCCUGCAGCAGUGGGCCACCAGCCUGGUGGGCAUGAAGCACCGCGAUGAGGCUCACAAGACCAUCCAGGAGGCGCUCAGCGAAUGCCAGCAUCAAGCCAAGUCCAUGGACGGUGAGCUCGAAGCCUAUAAGAAAUCCAUCGUGAAGGAGGAAGAAAAGAACGAGAAACUGGCCAGCAUCCUGAAUCGGGCAGAGACGGAAGCCAGCCUGAUGCAGAAACUGACGGCGCAGUGCCUGGCCAAGGAGGAGGCCCUGCAGAACGAGUUCAGCACCUACAGGCUCACCCUGCUGGACACAGAGGACGCGCUGGGCAAGGCCCAAAUGACUCUCCACCAGACCAUCCAGCACGAGCUGGAGCUGAGGAGGAAGAUGGAGGCCUCCAUUGUGGAGAAGCUGCAGGAACACAUGACCUCCAACAAGAUGACCAAGUACUUCCACCAGCUCAUCCUGAAGCUCCAGAAGGAAAAGACCAACCUGGUGACACAUCUUUCCAAAAUUGACGGCGACAUUGCUCAGGCCACCCUGGACAUGACAAACACCAGCUGCAGGCUGGACAGGCAUCAGAAGACGCUGGCCGAGCUGGACGAGGAAGUGAAAAAAGUCAACGACCUCAUCGCCAACAGCGAAAAUGAAAUCUCCAGGCGCACGAUCCUGAUUGAGAGAAGACAAGGCCUCAUCAACUUUUCCAACAAGCAGCUGGAGCAGAUGGUUUCUGAGCUUGGGGGGGAAGAAGUGGGGCCCCUGGAGCUGGAGAUCAAGAGGCUGACCAAGCUGACGGAGGAGCUCAGCGCCAGUGUGACCAGGGCCCAGGUGACCUGGCUCCGGCUGCAGCAGGAGAUGGUGAGGGCCACACAGGAGCGGGAGGAGCAGCUGGCCUCCCUGGACAUGUCCAAGAAGGAGAUGCACAUCCUGGAGCAGAAGAAGAUACGAACAGAGAACAAGAUCGACCAGGAGAAGAAGGAGCAGAAGGAGAUCCAGCGCCACAUGAGGAACCUGGACAGCGACCUGAAGAAGCUCAACGUGCUGAUGAACAGGAGCCGGUGCAGCUCGGAGGACCUGCAGCAGGAAAACCUGGCGACGGAGAACGAGUUCCUGCGAGCGCUCAAGGCCUCGGAGCGCGAGACCAUCGAGCUGCAGGAGAAGCUGAACCAGCUCAGCGAGGAGAAGGCGGCCGUGCUCAACAGCCUGGUGGAGGCCGAACACCAGAUCAUGCUUUGGGAGAAAAAGAUCCAACUGGCGAAAGAGAUGCGUGCCUCCGUGGACUCGGAGACGGGGCAGACGGAGAUCCGGGCGAUGAAGGCCGAGGUCCAAAGGAUGAAGGUCAAGCACAGGCAGCUGCUGAAGCAGCAGGAGAAGAUGAUCCGGGACAUGGAGCUGGCCGUCGCCCGCAGAGAAACCAUCUCCACCCGGGCCGAGGGGCAGGGCAAGCUGGACAAGAGGCUGCUCACCCAGACGGACUUCCACCACCAGCAGGCGGAGCUGCGCCGGAAGGUCAGGGACAUUCACAAGGCCACCGAGGAGUGCACCAAAACCAUCCUGGAACUGGAAGAAACUCAGAGAUCCCUGAGCGAGUCCCUCGUGGAGAAGCAGGAGCAGCUGUCAAAGAUGCAGUCCAAGGCCGACGAGCUCGAAGCCGACCUGGACCGGCUGGCGGCCCUCAAGCGGCAGAACCUUUCCACCCUCGUGGCCCUGCAAACGCGCCUCAAGCACCUGCAGGCCGUGAAGGACGGGCGGUACGUCUUCCUGCUCCGCAACAAGCAGUCGCUGCUGUCGGAGCUCAAGCGUCUGGAGGACCGGCUGGGCAGCAUCAACAACAUCCUCCACCACGUGAAGGAGGAGUACCCGCAGUUCCAGGGGGCCCUGCUCAAGGUCAGCCAGUCCAUCACCAACGGGCUGGGGUCCCCUGGGCCCUAGAGAGCGCCUGGGCACCCCUCUUCCAGGCGGGCCCCCAAGGAAGGGAUCAGUUUUGUGCAUUGUCGGGGACUUUGAAUACGUUUGUCUGUCCCUGCUUUACUGAAAGUCACCGCUGCCCUCAGAGAAUGACGCCACUUAAAAAAAUACGCCAGCGCUGUAGGAAUUGUUUGUUUAGCCACCCCGCUGUAUAAAUCAGGUCAAAUCCCAACGUUUCCAGUUCCAUUUUCCACAAGUAUUCCAUUUGCAAAGCAGACCCCCGUGCCCUCGCUGGGCUUACUCGUCCAAGGAAAACGGGAAACCAGGUCUCUGUUCCCGCCCCACUCCCAGCUUGGGUUAAAUCCAGAUGCCCAGCUCACCGGAGCAAGUCCGGAGGACGUGAAGCCCUAGCGGAGUCUGCAGGGCCUGACGUCUGCGAUUAGACCGUGCAGGUGCAGGAACACAGACCUCCUUGUCUGUGUCGGGUCCCCACCACCCUGGUCCACCCCGGGCUCCUCCUCCCACGCUCCGACUCCUGAACCCCUGCUGCCUAUGGCUUCUUCGAGGGCUUAAGGGGAAAGGUAAUUUUACAAAGUAAUUUUAAACUUUUCAGCAGGAAAAUAAAGUUUUUUU
Molecule: long non-coding RNA, 4162 nt
Filed under: Sus scrofa (pig)
Lineage: Eukaryota; Metazoa; Chordata; Mammalia; Artiodactyla; Suidae
Description: lncRNA (ENSSSCG00065073423.1)
Source: RNAcentral